UGUUCUGUAGCUUAGUUGGUUAAAGCGCCGGUCUAGCGUACACGUAGUCGUGAGUUCGAGUCUCACUAGAACGC
Molecule: transfer RNA, 74 nt
Filed under: Aedes aegypti (yellow fever mosquito)
Lineage: Eukaryota; Metazoa; Arthropoda; Insecta; Diptera; Culicidae
Rfam family: tRNA
About the family: Transfer RNA (tRNA) molecules are approximately 80 nucleotides in length. Their secondary structure includes four short double-helical elements and three loops (D, anti-codon, and T loops). Further hydrogen bonds mediate the characteristic L-shaped molecular structure. tRNAs have two regions of fundamental functional importance: the anti-codon, which is responsible for specific mRNA codon recognition, and the 3' end, to which the tRNAs corresponding amino acid is attached (by aminoacyl-tRNA synthetases). tRNAs cope with the degeneracy of the genetic code in two manners: having more than one tRNA (with a specific anti-codon) for a particular amino acid; and 'wobble' base-pairing, i.e. permitting non-standard base-pairing at the 3rd anti-codon position.
Source: Rfam by way of RNAcentral